Molecule: ribosomal RNA, 424 nt
Filed under: uncultured Clostridium sp.
Lineage: Bacteria; Bacillati; Bacillota; Clostridia; Eubacteriales; Clostridiaceae
Description: bacterial SSU rRNA
Rfam family: Bacterial small subunit ribosomal RNA
Source: RNAcentral
UGGGAAUAUUGGGCAAUGGGGGAAACCCUGACCCAGCAACGCCGCGUGAAGGAAGAAGGCCCUCGGGUUGUAAACCUCUUUUACCAGGGACGAACACAAUGACGGUACCUGGAGAAAAAGCAACGGCUAACUACGUGCCAGCAGCCGCGGUAAUACGUAGGUUGCAAGCGUUGUCCGGAUUUACUGGGUGUAAAGGGCGUGUAGGCGGAGAUGCAAGUUGGGGGUGAAAUCUAUGGGCUCAACCCAUAAACUGCUUCCAAAACUGUAUCCCUUGAGUAUCGGAGAGGCAAGCGGAAUUCCUAGUGUAGCGGUGAAAUGCGUAGAUAUUAGGAGGAACACCAGUGGCGAAGGCGGCUUGCUGGACGACAACUGACGCUGAGGCGCGAAAGCGUGGGGAGCAAACAGGAUUAGAUACCCUGGUAGU